Molecule: ribosomal RNA, 460 nt
Filed under: uncultured bacterium
Lineage: Bacteria
Description: partial 16S ribosomal RNA
Rfam family: Bacterial small subunit ribosomal RNA
Source: RNAcentral
CCUACGGGAGGCAGCAGUGAGGAAUCUUCCUCAAUGGGCGCAAGCCUGAACCAGCCACGCCGCGUGAAGGAUGACUGCCCUAGGAGUUGUAAACUUCUUUUAUAAAGGAGUAAGGUCGGGCGAGUGUGUCUUCUUGUAUCUACUUUAUGUAUACGGAUCGGCUAACUCCGUGCCAGCCGCCGCGGUAAUACGGAGGAUCCGAGCGUUAUCCGGAUUUAUUGGGUUUAAAGGGAGCGUAGCGGGGUUGUUAAGUUAGAUGUGAAAGUGUGCGGCUCAACCGUAGAAUUGCAAUUGAUACUGGGAGACUUGAGUACAGUAGAGGGAGGCGGAAGUCGAGGUGUAGCGGUGAAAUGCGUAGAUAUCACGAAGAACACCGAUUGCGAAGGCAGCUUACUAAACUGUAACUGACGUUGAGGCUCGAAAGUGUGGGUAGCAAACAGGAUUAGAUACCCGAGUAGUC